This 73-nucleotide transfer RNA is filed under the name Daphnia galeata. It matches the Rfam family "tRNA". From Rfam's summary of the family: Transfer RNA (tRNA) molecules are approximately 80 nucleotides in length. Their secondary structure includes four short double-helical elements and three loops (D, anti-codon, and T loops). Further hydrogen bonds mediate the characteristic L-shaped molecular structure. tRNAs have two regions of fundamental functional importance: the anti-codon, which is responsible for specific mRNA codon recognition, and the 3' end, to which the tRNAs corresponding amino acid is attached (by aminoacyl-tRNA synthetases). tRNAs cope with the degeneracy of the genetic code in two manners: having more than one tRNA (with a specific anti-codon) for a particular amino acid; and 'wobble' base-pairing, i.e. permitting non-standard base-pairing at the 3rd anti-codon position. Lineage: Eukaryota; Metazoa; Arthropoda; Branchiopoda; Diplostraca; Daphniidae. The record is from Rfam by way of RNAcentral.
GUUUCCAUAGUGUAGUGGAUAUUACGUCGGCUUCACACGCUGAAGGUCCUCAGUUGGACCCUGGGUGGAAACA